RNAcentral lists this long non-coding RNA (1114 nucleotides) under Olea europaea (common olive). Its description in RNAcentral is "long non-coding RNA (OEUR_LNC001600)". The record is from RNAcentral. Lineage: Eukaryota; Viridiplantae; Streptophyta; Magnoliopsida; Lamiales; Oleaceae.
AAAAAUCUUGUUCGUAAUGCUGUUGAGGACUCACAUCAAACAUACACUAAAAGGUAUGAAGAAGUAAAUUUUUUACAUAAUCUGAUAUUUGUAUCGACCUCGUAUUUCCAGUUCCCAGCAUUCAGUGGCCAUGAUUUGCAAAGCAUUAUUCAGAUGGGUUUCGACAAGGAUCCUGUUAAAGAGACUGCAUUUCAUUCAGAUAGCUUUCAUGGUAAAGACAAGAAAAGAAUCAGAUUAAAUAUUGUUUUAAAACUUGUCACUUAUAACUACUUGUUUUAUGCAGUCCCAAAUCAAACAUCACACAUGAAAGUUGAGCUGUGAACGCCAUUUGUUUAUGCUCUGCUGGAUGCCCGAAAGAGAAACAGGCUGCUGUAAAUACAAAGAGAAUUUAGUACAAGAUGAUUGAUAAAAUGCUAAUUCUAGGAAAUUUUCUUUUUUCUGUCUUAGUUUCGUCCUUUGCAUUUUAUUUCGCUAUUGUAAUUGAUGAAUUCCUGUUUCCAUUUUUUUAUGAGGUGAUUUUACAAUUAGCCAUUGUAUAAUCAUACAACCAGAUGGCUAUUUCUGGUGCAAAGUCUUAACAGCACCAUAUAUGUACUAUGUAAUAUAAGAUAUUCUUAGUGGAAAUGAAAACUAAUAUUUCCAUGGCCAUUCUUUGUUUAGCAGUCUACAUCUCACUUAUUGGCUUGUUUGAUGGUUUAAACUAAACAGGAUUAAAGAAGAAGAAGUAAUUAAAGUCUUAUCUAUACAAUUCUGUUUACUCUAUCAUACCGAAAACAUCCCUUAUGUAAAAUCUUGAUGAUGCAUUGCAAUCUUUCUCAAGAUCUUCACACGGUCGUGUCAAUUAAAGUGUUAAAUCGCGUUUUCUAGUGGUUAUUACUUGUGAUUGUUACUACUUAUGUUGUAACCAGCUGUAUAAGUGGGGCUCUUUUCAAUCAAAAGUCUUAAUACAGAUGAUAAUUUUGAUUAAACUUUUGUUCUAGUCUAUCAUAAUUUCAGGCACAUUUUGUGGGCACCUGUAAUUUUCACAGAUAAACCAGAAACUGAACCUUCUGAUCUCUUUUUCACCCUGCAAAGAAUAAUCGAAAGGCUGGAACUUUGUGCCAGUCAUUUACAG